Molecule: ribosomal RNA, 468 nt
Filed under: uncultured bacterium
Lineage: Bacteria
Description: partial 16S ribosomal RNA
Rfam family: Bacterial small subunit ribosomal RNA
Source: RNAcentral
GAUGAACGCUGGCGGCGUGCUUAACACAUGCAAGUCGAACGGAAAGGCCAGUGCUUGCACUGGUACUCGAGUGGCGAACGGGUGAGUAACACGUGGGUGAUCUGCCCUGUACUUCGGGAUAAGCUUGGGAAACUGGGUCUAAUACCGGAUAGGACAACUUUUUGGAUAUUGUUGUGGAAAGCUUUUGCGGUAUGGGAUGAGCUCGCGGCCUAUCAGCUUGUUGGUGGGGUAAUGGCCUACCAAGGCGUCGACGGGUAGCCGGCCUGAGAGGGUGUACGGCCACAGUGGGACUGAGAUACGGCCCAGACUCCUACGGGAGGCAGCAGUGGGGAAUAUUGCACAAUGGGCGCAAGCCUGAUGCAGCGACGCCGCGUGGGGGAUGAAGGCCUUCGGGUUGUAUACUCCUUUCGCUAGGGACGAAGCUUUUUUGUGACGGUACCUGGAGAAGAAGCACCGGCUAACUACGUG